Long non-coding RNA from Prosopis cineraria, 481 nucleotides. RefSeq lists it as uncharacterized. The transcript is spliced from 4 exons. The record is from RefSeq and is a predicted model, not a curated record. Lineage: Eukaryota; Viridiplantae; Streptophyta; Magnoliopsida; Fabales; Fabaceae.
UGGGUCCUUCCAUCUUCUCUUCCUAUCAUCUUUUCUACGUACCGAUGCUCUCACCUCCACCUUAGCACCAUCCUCUCCUCCUUCUUGCCGAGUUCGUUGGGCUGGUUGGUUUUGCAAAUCAGUAGUUAGUCGCCUAAUAUUACGGGGUUGCUCAAGCAAGUGAUGCAUCAAAAUCACUUGAAGAGGCCAUCAAGAACAGUAUAAGGAUCAGAUACCACAAUAAGCAUCUCGGAUAUCUUCUUUAAGCUAUAAAAGAAGGGGUGAAUGUGAAGGGAUAUUAUGCGUGGGCAUUCUCUGACAACUUUGAAUGGGAACAUGGUCAACAUUUCAAUUUGAUUAAUGUACGUGGAUUGCAGCAACAUGAAAUGAUAUCAACACAGCUUUAAGCAUUUGUGAGGGUUGAGAAAAGAGGCUGAUCAACAUCUUGGAUCACAACUUGAAGACAUUCUGCUAAAGUGUUAUUUCAUUCUUUAAUGCACAC